Molecule: ribosomal RNA, 266 nt
Filed under: uncultured haloarchaeon
Lineage: Archaea; Methanobacteriati; Methanobacteriota; Halobacteria; Halobacteriales; Halobacteriaceae
Description: partial 16S ribosomal RNA
Rfam family: Archaeal small subunit ribosomal RNA
Source: RNAcentral
GGUCCUUGUUCUUUGCACAGGGGUUUUAGUCAGGCAACGAGCGAGACCCCCACUCCUAAUUGCCAGCACCACUUUCGGGUGGAUGGGUACAUUAGGAGGACUGCCGCUGCCAAAGCGGAGGAAGGAACGGGCAACGGUAGGUCAGUAUGCCCCGAAUGUGCUGGGCUACACGCGGGCUACAAUGGUCGAGACAAUGGGUUCCCACCUCGAAAGAGGACGGUAAUCUCCGAAACUCGAUCGUAGUUCGGAUUGAGGGUUGAAACUCG